RNAcentral lists this ribosomal RNA (440 nucleotides) under uncultured bacterium. Its description in RNAcentral is "partial 16S ribosomal RNA". It matches the Rfam family "Bacterial small subunit ribosomal RNA", at positions 339 to 795 of the family's 1533-position model. The record is from RNAcentral.
CUACGGGGUGCUCCAGUGAGGAAUAUUGCACAAUGGGGGGAACCCUGAUGCAGCAACGCCGCGUGGAGGAUGACGCAUUUCGGUGUGUAAACUCCUUUUAUAUGUCAAGAAAAUGACGGUAGCAUAUGAAUAAGCACCGGCUAACUCCGUGCCAGCAGCCGCGGUAAUACGGAGGGUGCAAGCGUUACUCGGAAAUCACUGGGCGUAAAGGACGAGUAGGCGGGUUGGAAAGUCAGGUGUGAAAUCCUACAGCUUAACUGUAGAACUGCACUUGAAACUUCUAAUCUAGAGUAUGGGAGGGGGAGAUGGAAUUAGUGGUGUAGGGGUAAAAUCCGUAGAUAUCACUAGGAAUACCUAAAGCGAAGGCGAUCUCCUGGAACAUUACUGACGCUAAGGCGUGAAAGCGUGGGGAGCAAACAGGAUUAGAUACCCCGGUAGUC